GACGAACGCUGGCGGCGUGCUUAACACAUGCAAGUCGAACGGAAGGGCCCUGCUUUUGUGUGUUUGUCGAUUGGCGAACGGGGGAGUAAAACGUGUGUAUACCGUCCUUAACUGAGUGAGAACUUCUGGGAACUCGGGCUAUUACCCGAUAUGAUCUCCUGCUGCGUGUUGGUGGUUGGUAAGUGUCGGCGGUUGGGGAUGGACUCGCGGCUUAUCAGCUUGUUUGUGGGGUAGUGGCUUACCAAGGCUUUGACGGGUAGCCGGCCUGAGAGGGUGACCGGCCACAUUGGGACUGAGAUACGGCCCAGACUCCUACGGGAGGCAGCAGUGGGGAAUAUUGCACAAUGGGCGGAAGCCUGAUGCAGCAACGCCGCGUGCGGGAUGACGGCCUUCGGGUUGUAAACCGCUUUCGCCUGUGACGAAGCGUGAGUGACGGUAAUGGGUAAAGAAGCACCGGCUAACUACGUG
This 468-nucleotide ribosomal RNA is filed under the name uncultured bacterium. RNAcentral describes it as "partial 16S ribosomal RNA". It matches the Rfam family "Bacterial small subunit ribosomal RNA", at positions 28 to 507 of the family's 1533-position model. The record is from RNAcentral.